Long non-coding RNA from Juglans microcarpa x Juglans regia, 687 nucleotides. RefSeq lists it as uncharacterized. Lineage: Eukaryota; Viridiplantae; Streptophyta; Magnoliopsida; Fagales; Juglandaceae. The record is from RefSeq and is a predicted model, not a curated record. The transcript has 3 exons.
AGCGAGUAGAUUCUAAUAGAUAUUCAAGUUUGUUGAAUAUCUGUUAUCAGAUGAUCACUCAUGCAGCGGGAUCGAAAGAGCAUAUUGAGGAUGCAACUACUAAGUUAUAUUCUAUGAUUGAGUUGUAUCGUGCCAACCAAGAACCCCCAUCGAUGACUCAAACGGGUUCUAAUGUUGGUUGUGCGACACAGGACACAACUACAUUUAGCAGUUCUAAGCAAGUACUCAGUCCACGUGUUGUGCGAGGGAAAGGCAGACCCCCAUCUUUGAGGAGAGUAUUCAGGAUGGAGACAGACAUGAGGAAAGCUAAAGCGAAGGAAGCUAAAGCGAAGGCAAAAAAAGUGAAAGGAAAUGGGAAACGUAAAGAGCGUGAUGGAGGAGAUACACCAGCCGUGGGUACUUGCAGAAAUUUAUUUGGUAAUUCAGAGGAUGAUAUGACACAUGUCCAUGACGUGCAGGUAUAUGAAGGGUUAAUAUUUGAGUUACAAUAUUGAAAUGUUUUCUAACAAAUAUAUAUCAACAGGCUGUUCCAGACAUACGAACUGUGGUCCAAGAAAUAGUGGUUGCAAGUCAAGAAAGUAUGCAAUUUGGGUUGGAGGGAUCACAACCGGUGCAAAAUAUUGGGUUGGAGGGAUCACAACCAACGCAGCCUUACGGGGAUGGAUCACAAUCGGCACAAUUAGAUGG